Molecule: ribosomal RNA, 253 nt
Filed under: uncultured bacterium
Lineage: Bacteria
Description: partial 16S ribosomal RNA
Rfam family: Bacterial small subunit ribosomal RNA
Source: RNAcentral
UACAGAGGUCUCGAGCGUUAGGCGGAAUCACUGGGCUUAAAGCGUGUGUAGGUGGAUGCCUAAGUACCUUGUGGAAUCCCACGGCUUAACCGUGGAACUGCUUGGUAUACUGGGUGUCUUGAGUCACUCAGGGGCGAGCGGAACAAAUGGUGGAGCGGUGAAAUGCGUAGAUAUCAUUUGGAACGCCAAUGGUGAAAACAGCUCGCUGGGGGUGCACUGACACUGAGACACGAAAGCCAGGGGAGCGAACGGG